RNAcentral lists this transfer RNA (71 nucleotides) under Cryptomonas gyropyrenoidosa. Its description in RNAcentral is "tRNA-Arg". It matches the Rfam family "tRNA". Rfam says of the family: Transfer RNA (tRNA) molecules are approximately 80 nucleotides in length. Their secondary structure includes four short double-helical elements and three loops (D, anti-codon, and T loops). Further hydrogen bonds mediate the characteristic L-shaped molecular structure. tRNAs have two regions of fundamental functional importance: the anti-codon, which is responsible for specific mRNA codon recognition, and the 3' end, to which the tRNAs corresponding amino acid is attached (by aminoacyl-tRNA synthetases). tRNAs cope with the degeneracy of the genetic code in two manners: having more than one tRNA (with a specific anti-codon) for a particular amino acid; and 'wobble' base-pairing, i.e. permitting non-standard base-pairing at the 3rd anti-codon position. The record is from RNAcentral. Lineage: Eukaryota; Cryptophyceae; Cryptomonadales; Cryptomonadaceae.
ACAUUUGAAUCUAACGGAUAGAAUAUAAGCUUCGAACUUAUACUUAGCAAGUUCGACUCUUGCCAAAUGUU